Molecule: ribosomal RNA, 550 nt
Filed under: uncultured Glomeromycotina
Lineage: Eukaryota; Fungi; Glomeromycota
Description: SSU rRNA
Rfam family: Eukaryotic small subunit ribosomal RNA
Source: RNAcentral
UUGGAGGGCAAGUCUGGUGCCAGCAGCCGCGGUAAUUCCAGCUCCAAUAGCGUAUAUUAAAGUUGUUGCAGUUAAAAAGCUCGUAGUUGAAUUUCGGGGUCAGCAGGUUGGUCGUGCCACUGGUAUGCACUGGCUUCGCUGAUUCCUCCUUUCUGAAGAACUGUAAUGUCAUUAAUUUGGUGUUGCAGGGAAACAGGACUGUUACUUUGAAAAAAUUAGAGUGUUUAAAGCAGGCUAACGCUUGAAUACAUUGGCAUGGAAUAAUGAAAUAGGACGUUCGAUCCUAUUUUGUUGGUUUCUAGGAUUGACGUAAUGAUUAAUAGGGAUAGUUGGGGGCAUUAGUAUUCAAUUGUCAGAGGUGAAAUUCUUGGAUUUAUUGAAGACUAACUACUGCGAAAGCCAUUUGCCAAGGAUGUUUUCAUUAAUCAAGAACGAAAGUUAGGGGAUCGAAGACGAUCAGAUACCGUCGUAGUCUUAACCAUAAACUAUGCCGACUAGGGAUCGGAUGAUGUUAAUUUUUUAAUGACUCAUUCGGCGCCUUACGGGAAAC